Toxotes jaculatrix (banded archerfish) is the source of this 305-nucleotide long non-coding RNA. RefSeq lists it as uncharacterized. The transcript is spliced from 3 exons. NCBI's taxonomy places the organism in Eukaryota, Metazoa, Chordata, Actinopteri, Toxotidae. The record is from RefSeq and is a predicted model, not a curated record.
UGUGAUCUGCAGACUGGAAUUAGUCUCCGACAGAGCUGAAAACACCAUGCUGCACAGAGGCUGACGGAAGGCUAGAAACACACUCUCUUCUAAUGUGGAGGGAUGGAGGACACAAAGACACAGACCAUGGAACACGAUGCAGCAGCUGUGAGAGGAGGAGGCCUAACGUGACCAGCCUGCAGGGGAUCUGAUGAGCUGAACUCAGAUUUCUGCAUUCACCUUUGAGCACAAGAUCCAAGAAGGUGCUGAGGGAGUCUUCAGAGUCAGAGCUGAGGACUGAUCGAGACAGACAGGAAGUGAGUGCG